AUGGCCACCCCAACCACGACGCCGGCGACGAUGCGGGCCGUGCAGUACGACGCCUGCGGCGGAGGCGCCGCCGGCCUCAAGCAUGUAGAAGUCCCCGUCCCUUCUGCAAAGAAGAAUGAGGUCCUGCUGAAACUGCAAGCUGCAACCAUCAACCCAGUUGACUGGAAGAUACAGAAAGGGGACUUGAGGCCUCUGCUGCCUCGUAGACUGCCUUUUAUCCCAGUGACUGAUGUUGCAGGAGUAGUUGUUGAUGUUGGUCCUGGAGUGAAAGGUCUCACAGCGGGUGAUCAAGUCGUCGCCAUGUUGAACUCUUUUAACGGAGGUGGACUGGCAGAGUAUGCUGUAGCAUCCGCAAACCUGACCGUCAAAAGGCCAGCUGAGGUUUCUGCAGCUGAGGGUGCUGGGCUUCCCAUUGCUGCAGGCACUGCGCUCCAGGCACUAAGGUCCAUUGGUGCCAAGUUUGACGGCACCGGCAAGCCAUUAAACGUGUUGGUCACCGCUGCCUCUGGCGGCGUAGGCCUGUACGCGGUGCAGCUUGCAAAGCUAGCGAACCUUCAUGUUACCGCCACCUGCGGCGCACGCAACAUGGAUCUUGUGAAGAGCUUGGGCGCAGACGAGGUGAUGGACUACAGGACCCCAGAGGGGGCGAGCCUGCAGAGUCCCUCCGGCAGGAAGUACGACGGCGUGGUUCACUGCACCGUCGGUGUCAGCUGGUCGUCUUUCCAGCCAUUGCUCAGUGAUGCCGGGCGAGUGAUCGAUAUCACCCCCAACUUCUCGGCCAUCCUCACAUCUGCGCUGCACAGGAUGACAUUUUCCAAGAAGCGCCUGGUGCCCCUGCUCCUGUCGCCCAACAAGGCGGACCUGGAGUUAUUGGUUGGGUUGCUCAAGGAAGGCAAGCUGAAGACGGUGGUCGACUCGAAGUUCCCGUUGAGCGAGGCAGACAAGGCGUGGCAGAGCAGUAUCGAUGGCCAUGCCACUGGUAAGAUUGUCGUUGAGAUGGAGAGCUGA
RNAcentral lists this ribosomal RNA (1008 nucleotides) under Triticum aestivum (bread wheat). RNAcentral describes it as "partial small subunit ribosomal RNA". The record is from RNAcentral. Lineage: Eukaryota; Viridiplantae; Streptophyta; Magnoliopsida; Poales; Poaceae.